GAUGAAGAACGUAGCGAAAUGCGAUAAGUAAUGUGAAUUGCAGAAUUCAGUGAAUCAUCGAAUCUUUGAACGCACAUUGCGCCCGCCAGUAUUCUGGCGGGCAUGCCUGUUCGAGCGUCAUUUCAACCAUCAAGCCCCAGGCUUGUGUUGGGGACCUGCGGCUGCCGCAGGCCCUGAAAACCAGUGGCGGGCUCGCUGUCACACCGGGCGUAGUAGAUUUUAUCUCGCUCAGGGCGUGCUGCGGGUUCCGGCCGUUAAAAAGCCUUUUUUACCCAAGGUUGACCUCGGAUCAGGUAGGAAGACCCGCUGAACUUAACCAUAUCAAUAAGCGGAGGA
This 336-nucleotide unclassified non-coding RNA is filed under the name soil metagenome. Its description in RNAcentral is "partial contains 5.8S ribosomal RNA, internal transcribed spacer 2, and large subunit ribosomal RNA". The stretch from base 1 to 120 matches the Rfam family "5.8S ribosomal RNA", at positions 35 to 154 of the family's 154-position model. The record is from RNAcentral.